RNAcentral lists this ribosomal RNA (415 nucleotides) under uncultured prokaryote. RNAcentral describes it as "bacterial SSU rRNA". It matches the Rfam family "Bacterial small subunit ribosomal RNA", at positions 505 to 918 of the family's 1533-position model. The record is from RNAcentral.
GUGUCAGCAGCCGCGGUAAUACGUAGGAGACGAGUGUUAUCCGGAUUUACUGGGCGUAAAGAGGGCGUAGGCGGUCUUUCAAGUCGGAUGUGAAAUCUCCCGGCUUAACUGGGAGGGGUCAUUCGAUACUGUUGGGCUAGAGGGCUGCAGAGGGAGGUGGAAUUCCCGGUGUAGUGGUGAAAUGCGUAGAUAUCGGGAGGAACACCAGUGGCGAAGGCGGCCUCCUGGGCUGUUUCUGACGCUGAGGCCCAAAAGCGUGGGGAGCGAACAGGAUUAGAUACCCUGGUAGUCCACGCUGUAUACUAUGGACACUAGGUAUGGGGAGUAUCGACCCUCUCCGUGCCGAAGCUAACGCUUUAAGUGUCCCGCCUGGUGACUACGGCCGCAAGGCUAACACUCAAAUGAAUUGGCGGGG